GGAGACUUCUGAGGGAGAGUCUUCGCAUGAUGAAGAUCCCGCUGAGGCCACUGCUGUCUUUGCUUGCAAACGCGAUCGAGCUCAAUUCGUCGAAGAGAGUUUUGAAGAUGACGAACCUCUGGGAAUGCGAUUGGUCCGUCAAAGGACCACUAAUCCCUCUCGCCUGAGCGAGGCUGGACCCUCAGCCACUGCAGAAAAGCCAACUCUCUCGCUAGUUCAAGCAUCAACUAACCCCGUGGCGCCUCUUCCGUCUC
Molecule: long non-coding RNA, 254 nt
Organism: Rosa rugosa (rugosa rose)
Lineage: Eukaryota; Viridiplantae; Streptophyta; Magnoliopsida; Rosales; Rosaceae
Exons: 3
Source: RefSeq, a predicted model, not a curated record